This is a non-coding RNA of Monodelphis domestica (gray short-tailed opossum), 343 nucleotides long. Lineage: Eukaryota; Metazoa; Chordata; Mammalia; Didelphimorphia; Didelphidae. The record is from RefSeq and is a predicted model, not a curated record.
GACUUGGAGUGAAGACACUUGGCAGUGGAACUGGACCCCUGGAGGAACUCAUGCAGGAGACAUCAGACUACUUUCUUUUUAGAUGGUCACCGGGUGACUGUAAAGGCUGACUUAUUUCCUUGCCCAUUCUGGAGGAAGCCCCAAGAACUCCCGAGGCUGUUCUCUACCUCACUUCCUGCGUCUCACAUGUGCCAAUGGUGGCUCUAGCUUGACCUAGGACCGCCCAGAGAGACUAAUACACUGUGGUAUAAUCUAAUGUAAUGGACUUCUCCAUUAGUGGCGGUGUAAUGUCCCUGAACAAUCUGCAGGGAUCUAGGAGAAAAAACACUAUCCAUAAGCAGAG